UGAACUCCCCCAGGGCCGGAAGGCAGCAAGGGUCAAUGGGCUCUGCCGGGUGCGCGGGGUCCCCUUAUUUU
This 71-nucleotide signal recognition particle RNA is filed under the name Rhodococcus sp. (in: high G+C Gram-positive bacteria). Its description in RNAcentral is "partial signal recognition particle sRNA small type". It matches the Rfam family "Bacterial small signal recognition particle RNA", at positions 28 to 97 of the family's 97-position model. Rfam says of the family: The signal recognition particle (SRP) is a universally conserved ribonucleoprotein involved in the co-translational targeting of proteins to membranes. Archaeal SRP consists of a 7S RNA and homologues of the eukaryotic SRP19 and SRP54 proteins. The record is from RNAcentral. Lineage: Bacteria; Bacillati; Actinomycetota; Actinomycetes; Mycobacteriales; Nocardiaceae.